GUAGGAGCUUAGGCUCCCAAAGG
Molecule: small nuclear RNA, 23 nt
Filed under: Arabidopsis thaliana (thale cress)
Lineage: Eukaryota; Viridiplantae; Streptophyta; Magnoliopsida; Brassicales; Brassicaceae
Description: snRNA_14617
Source: RNAcentral